GCCUGGGUGGCUCAGUUGGUUAAGCGUCCGACUUUGGCUCAGGUCAUGAUCUCACAGUUUGUGGGUUCGAACCCCGUGUCAGGCU
Molecule: transfer RNA, 85 nt
Filed under: Felis catus (domestic cat)
Lineage: Eukaryota; Metazoa; Chordata; Mammalia; Carnivora; Felidae
Rfam family: tRNA
About the family: Transfer RNA (tRNA) molecules are approximately 80 nucleotides in length. Their secondary structure includes four short double-helical elements and three loops (D, anti-codon, and T loops).
Source: Rfam by way of RNAcentral